Molecule: ribosomal RNA, 449 nt
Filed under: Staphylococcus aureus
Lineage: Bacteria; Bacillati; Bacillota; Bacilli; Caryophanales; Staphylococcaceae
Description: bacterial SSU rRNA
Rfam family: Bacterial small subunit ribosomal RNA
Source: RNAcentral
UUUUAUGGAGAGUUUGAUCCUGGCUCAGGAUGAACGCUGGCGGCGUGCCUAAUACAUGCAAGUCGAGCGAACGGACGAGAAGCUUGCUUCUCUGAUGUUAGCGGCGGACGGGUGAGUAACACGUGGAUAACCUACCUAUAAGACUGGGAUAACUUCGGGAAACCGGAGCUAAUACCGGAUAAUAUUUUGAACCGCAUGGUUCAAAAGUAAAAGACGGUCUUGCUGUCACUUAUAGAUGGAUCCGCGCUGCAUUAGCUAGUUGGUAAGGUAACGGCUUACCAAGGCAACGAUGCAUAGCCGACCUGAGAGGGUGAUCGGCCACACUGGAACUGAGACACGGUCCAGACUCCUACGGGAGGCAGCAGUAGGGAAUCUUCCGCAAUGGGCGAAAGCCUGACGGAGCAACGCCGCGUGAGUGAUGAAGGUCUUCGGAUCGUAAAACUCUGUUA